AUUCACAUGCAUUUCUCAAAUAACAAGAUAUUGAUAAUUUCAAAGUAACCACAACUAAUGCAAAUCACAUUUUCUUAGCAAAUGAAAAGUGAAAUAUUUUGCUUAAUAAACGCUUGCAAGAAUAUUCCUCGUCAUAUUGAUUGAUCAAGCCACAUAAGGCUAAAGACUUUUAGGACCAUCAACACUAAGUCAGUGUCCACACGAAUAGGAUAAGAUAAUUGACGCGUGGCCUCCACUAUUCAAGUUAACACCAAACCUAAUAAAUCUACAUAGGGACCGCUGCGUACCGCGUUCCAGGU
RNAcentral lists this unclassified non-coding RNA (299 nucleotides) under Hevea brasiliensis (rubber tree). Lineage: Eukaryota; Viridiplantae; Streptophyta; Magnoliopsida; Malpighiales; Euphorbiaceae. The record is from RNAcentral.